This 253-nucleotide ribosomal RNA is filed under the name uncultured bacterium. RNAcentral's name for it is "partial 16S ribosomal RNA". It matches the Rfam family "Bacterial small subunit ribosomal RNA", at positions 46 to 295 of the family's 1533-position model. The record is from RNAcentral.
CAGCCUAACACAUGCAAGUCGAGCGGAUGACGGGAGCUUGCUCCUUGAUUCAGCGUGCGGACGGGUGAGUAAUGCCUAGGAAUCUGCCUGGUAGUGGGGGACAACGUUUCGAAAGGAACGCUAAUACCGCAUACGUCCUACGGGAGAAAGCAGGGGACCUUCGGGCCUUGCGCUAUCAGAUGAGCCUAGGUCGGAUUUAGCUAGUUUGGUGGGGUAAUGGCUCACCAAGGCGACGAUCCGUAAACUGGUCUGA